This 224-nucleotide long non-coding RNA is filed under the name Nicotiana benthamiana. RNAcentral describes it as "long non-coding RNA (NBEN_LNC015821)". Lineage: Eukaryota; Viridiplantae; Streptophyta; Magnoliopsida; Solanales; Solanaceae. The record is from RNAcentral.
CAGUUGACCCUCAAUGAAGCCCAGAGACUCUAGUAUGACUUCUUUGACAUUCUGAUGAACCCCAGCCAGAUAAACAACACUCUUAGUAUUGUUGGCAUACAGUGCAGAAGCUACAGAGAAUGUAAGGAAAGCAUCAUGCAUAAUCUGGAUAGAAAUAGUAUCAGCUCGACAGAAUAGGAGAAGAUCAUCAGCAAAACAGAUAUGGGCACAGUUCAGCUUCCUGC